RNAcentral lists this ribosomal RNA (793 nucleotides) under uncultured bacterium. RNAcentral describes it as "bacterial SSU rRNA". It matches the Rfam family "Bacterial small subunit ribosomal RNA", at positions 1 to 796 of the family's 1533-position model. The record is from RNAcentral.
UAGAGUUUGAUCCUGGCUCAGGAUGAACGCUGGCGGCGUGCUUAACACAUGCAAGUCGAACGGAGUACCCCUGAAGGAGUUUUCGGACAACUGAUGGGACUACUUAGUGGCGGACGGGUGAGUAACGCGUGAGUAACCUGCCUUGGAGUGGGGAAUAACAGCUGGAAACAGCUGCUAAUACCGCAUAAUAUGUCUGUGUCGCAUGGCACUGGACAUCAAAGAUUUAUCGCUCUGAGAUGGACUCGCGUCUGAUUAGCUAGUUGGCGGGGUAACGGCCCACCAGGGCGACGAUCAGUAGCCGGACUGAGAGGUUGGCCGGCCACAUUGGGACUGAGACACGGCCCAGACUCCUACGGGAGGCAGCAGUGGGGAAUAUUGGGCAAUGGGCGCAAGCCUGACCCAGCAACGCCGCGUGAAGGAAGAAGGCUUUCGGGUUGUAAACUUCUUUUCUCAGGGACGAAGCAAGUGACGGUACCUGAGGAAUAAGUCACGGCUAACUACGUGCCAGCAGCCGCGGUAAUACGUAGGUGGCAAGCGUUAUCCGGAUUUACUGGGUGUAAAGGGCGUGUAGGCGGGACUGCAAGUCAGAUGUGAAAACCACGGGCUCAACCUGUGGCCUGCAUUUGAAACUGUAGUUCUUGAGUACUGGAGAGGCAGACGGAAUUCCUAGUGUAGCGGUGAAAUGCGUAGAUAUUAGGAGGAACACCAGUGGCGAAGGCGGUCUGCUGGACAGCAACUGACGCUGAGGCGCGAAAGCGUGGGGAGCAAACAGGAUUAGAUACCCUGGUAGUCC